UCGACCUGAGGUCAGGCAAGAACACCCGCUGAACUUAAGCAUAUCAAUAAGCGGAGGAAAAGAAACUAACUAGGAUUCCCUUAGUAGCGGCGAGCGAACCGGGAUGAGCCCAACUUGUAAAUCAUUAGCCCUCGGCUAAUUGAAUUGUAGUCUCAAGAUGCGAUCUCUGCAGCUAGCAGUGCCCAAUUUUCCUUGGAAAAGGGAGUCAGAGAGGGUGAGAACCCCGUCGGCACUUGCCUCAGCUGCUCCACGAGGCGUUUUCUCAGAGUCGGGUUGCUUGGGAAUGCAGCCCUAAGUAGGUGGUAAAUCCCAUCUAAGGCUAAAUACUGACGGGAGACCGAUAGCGAACAAGUACCGUGAGGGAAAGAUGAAAAGAACUUUGAAAAGAGAGUCAAAAGUGCUUGAAAUUGUUGAGGGGGAAGGAAUUGGAAGCCGUUUGUGCACCCGGGCUUAAGUGGGCAACUCUGCCCAUUGUACGCCUUGGGUGCCGGUCAGCAUCGGCUACUGGACCG
RNAcentral lists this ribosomal RNA (512 nucleotides) under uncultured Trebouxia photobiont. RNAcentral's name for it is "eukaryotic LSU rRNA". It matches the Rfam family "Eukaryotic large subunit ribosomal RNA", at positions 1 to 516 of the family's 3401-position model. The record is from RNAcentral. Lineage: Eukaryota; Viridiplantae; Chlorophyta; Trebouxiophyceae; Trebouxiales; Trebouxiaceae.